GAGUUUGAUCGUGGCUCAGAUUGAACGCUGGCGGCAUGCCUUACACAUGCAAGUCGAACGGCAGCACGGGAGCUUGCUCCUGGUGGCGAGUGGCGAACGGGUGAGUAAUGCAUCGGAACGUAUCCUGGAGUGGGGGAUAACGUAGCGAAAGUUACGCUAAUACCGCAUAUUCUGUGAGCAGGAAAGCGGGGGACCUUCGGGCCUCGCGCUCUUGGAGCGGCCGAUGUCGGAUUAGCUAGUUGGUGAGGUAAAGGCUCACCAAGGCGACGAUCCGUAGCAGGUCUGAGAGGAUGAUCUGCCACACUGGAACUGAGACACGGUCCAGACUCCGUACGGGAGGCAGCAGUGGGGAAUUUUGGACAAGUGGGGGCAACCCUGAUCCAGCCAUGCCGCGUGAGUGAAGAAGGCC
This 409-nucleotide ribosomal RNA is filed under the name bacterium enrichment culture clone ALO1_GLFRUDD03GAYWG. RNAcentral's name for it is "bacterial SSU rRNA". It matches the Rfam family "Bacterial small subunit ribosomal RNA", at positions 9 to 416 of the family's 1533-position model. The record is from RNAcentral.